CCUACGGGAGGCAGCAGUGGGGAAUAUUGGGCAAUGGAGGAAACUCUGACCCAGCGACGCCGCGUGCGGGAUGAAGGCCUUCGGGUUGUAAACCGCUUUCAGUAGGGAAGAAGCGAAAGUGACGGUACCUACAGAAGAAGCACCGGCUAACUAUGUGCCAGCAGCCGCGGUAAUACAUAGGGUGCAAGCGUUGCCCGGAAUUAUUGGGCGUAAAGAGCUCGUAGGUGGUUCGUCACGUCGGAUGUGAAAAUCUGGGGCUCAACCCCAGACCUGCAUUCGAUACGGGCGAUCUAGAGUGUGGUAGGGGAGACUGGAAUUCCUGGUGUAGCGGUGGAAUGCGCAGAUAUCAGGAGGAACACCAAUGGCGAAGGCAGGUCUCUGGGCCAUUACUGACACUGAGGAGCGAAAGCGUGGGGAGCGAACAGGAUUAGAUACCCUGGUAGUCCACGCCGUAAACGGUGGGCACUAGUUGUGGGAACCUUCCACGGUUUCUGCGACGCAGCUACGCAUAGUAGCCCGCCGUCGGGAGGUACGAGCGCGAAGAAUUAAACGUUAAAGGUAAGUUAGACGGCGUGAGACGUCGCCGACGGACGACGACGAGGGAGGUAGG
Molecule: ribosomal RNA, 610 nt
Filed under: uncultured bacterium
Lineage: Bacteria
Description: bacterial SSU rRNA
Rfam family: Bacterial small subunit ribosomal RNA (bases 1-521)
Source: RNAcentral